Non-coding RNA from Oncorhynchus mykiss (rainbow trout), 4290 nucleotides. Lineage: Eukaryota; Metazoa; Chordata; Actinopteri; Salmoniformes; Salmonidae. The record is from RefSeq and is a predicted model, not a curated record.
CCUCGGUAAAACCUAUUCUAUAUGCUAGCCAUAUGCUUCUCAUCCUUUACCGGAACCCUUACUGUUGACUUCCACGCGGAUACGCAGCCCUCCAUUGGAUGGCAAAAGAACCAGGACAAAUUUCCUCGCAUUGAAAAGUGGAACCCAUACGAUACUCUGGCAGUAUGUACGAGGAGGAGUCGGUUGCUAUCUUUGGUUAUCUAGCUGUAUGAGUGUUACUCGGCCGUCAUAAAGCUAGCUAACCGAAUGUAGGAAUGUCCUCCAAACCUGCGACUCGGACAGGAAUAAAUGGUGUCUAGGAGUAAAGACACAAAAUAACAUAAUUGAUAUGCAAUUACAGGCCAAUACCUCAUUGCCUUUCCGGUAAGUUAUAACAAUUUUCCCUAAUCAUUUAUUAUAAACAUCUGUUGAAACACUUCUGAAUUCCUCAAAACCUGAUACAACCCGAAAUGAAUGCUUUUUCUUAUUUCAUUUAGAGAAUAUAUUCUCUAAAUAUAAGUAGGGUAAUCUUUAUAGCAUGCCUUUAAAUGAUAAAUCAACAUUUUCCACAAUGGAUUCAAAAUCAUGUUGUGAAUUGAAGUGUAUAUUUGUCCCACUUUUGUUUAGUAUGCUUAGAGCAAGAAUACUCUUUAUACAUUUAUUUAUUCCAUCACGCAAGGCAUCUAGAGUGAUUUUGCCGAAAACAUAUUCUAAAAGGAAAAAUACUUAAUAAAAAGCCUUUAUUCCGGUCAGAGGAAUAGAUAACUUUAUCCAGUCAUAUGAGUGAACUGUAACAAUUGAUAUUCGGGCAUGAAUAUGAAUAAAGCUUUGUCGCAUCAAAGUAUCCGUAGUUGACCAGUAUUCCUUAUAGUUCUCACUGCAUAAAUCAGGUUUACGCACACGCAAACACAUAUUGAAUUAAGGUUUAAUCAGAUGGAUUAAGAUUUGUGACUCAUAUUGAUAUCAUUCUUGUCUCAGGUGGAAACGUUUUGAUUUCCCAGAAUAUGGCCGAUAUUAGCCUUUAUGACGUAUUUAGGCAUACUAUAGGCCAACGCCUAUAAAAAAGACGGUCCUGAUUAAGAUGAGCUAUGUCAGUCGAUAUUUCAGUCGAUAUUAAGUCAAGCGAUCCAUGUCAUUACAUAAACGCAUACUUUCAGUUGUGUUCUCACAUAGAGUUGUGUUGUCUAGAAAGGAAGAACACUUAAGAUAUUCAUGGUUUUUCUAGAUUUAAAUGCAUUAUACCUCCCAUGUGAGUCUCACAAUACCUUUACGCAUUGUGCGCACACCUAAUCGGCACAAAUUAUUCAAGUGUCUCAAUUUGGACUUUCUGCCUGGCCCUUCACGGUGCUAUAGCUAUCCCUCAAAAGGCAACUUCUAUAGCUUCUCUUGGAGAACCAAAUCCGGGGAUGCAUUUUCAUUCAACCAACAACUCCUCUCAGAACCUACAGUGGCGCUCAAUGGCUGGAGCGCGCUCCUGGCUAAUUGGUUUGAUUCAGUAAAGGAGGCUGGCUAUACGCUGGAUUUGUGAAACGUCCGAGCGAGCUUUUCCCACGACUGGCCGGAUCUCUCCAUUCUAGUGUGUCACCAGACAAUUUAGAAUUUCCACUGGUCAACCCAGUGACAUAGGGCCUACCAGUCGCUACUCUGAUAAUAUCGUCCUUAACCAAAACUGCGUCCUCUUGAUGUCUAUUGUGAGCUUUACAUUAUCCAAGUGUAGGCCGAUAUCCUCCUCAGGUCUUUUAAUACUGAGAGUAGGCUAGUUGUUGACUACUACUAUUAACUCACUUGAUUUGAACAUUUCGUAUUCUGAUCAAUCUCAAUUUAUGCUUAAAAUAUCCAUCUAUUAUUAUUUAUUGUUACUUCACCUUUAUUCACUAACUGCAUUCUGAUUGUACCUCUACUAUCCUCAAAACAAAAGCCUUGUGUCGACCUCCUCCAACCUGCCUAUCUGAAUCUCCUCAUCAAUAACUGUAAUGCAGGCUCUGAUCCAUACAAGUCCCAACAAAGAAGAAUGGAGACAUUAUCUAAUUCAACCACACCUAUCUCACCACUCUAUUCUUCUCUAGGCCUAAUCCAUAUAAACGUGUCCUUUGCCUGUUGUAGAAGAACCCUUGGCAUGACUAUUCUAUUACCCGACAAUGAUCAAAUUAAUUGUUGCUGAAUGUUAGUGAUGAGAAUUCAAGCAUAUUGUUUUAAUGGAUACGUUUAGUUUUAUUUUUUUUGAACUAUUGCAUUAGAUUGUAUUUGUAAAUGUCUUUGUUAUUGUCAAAGGUUGAUCCAGUGCCCUUGUCACUGCAGUGGCUGCCUGAGAUACACCCACAAACUCUGCAGUAUGAACAGCACAAACUGUCUACUAAAUGUGACUGCCAGCCAUUCACACCAUGUCUGGAUUGAGCAAGGGGAAAGUGGCACAGUCGUCACAAAAAAACAGAAAGCAGGAGGGGAAGAAAAAGGCCAACCCCCUUGUCCCUCUUCCCUUAAAUCUCCAUCACCGGAAGCCUUUGGUGCCAUCUGUGACCCUGGAGAAAAGGACGGGCGAGAUGCCUCCACCCUGUGCCAACGGGGACAAAGGAGCUGCCAGUUAGAGCGGCCCCCCUCGCAGGCAGCCAGAGGACUCUGUGUGACUGACUGGGGCUGAGCUACGGAAGCCAUCUUGAUGGAGAGUCUUGCUGCUGCUCCUAAAAUGGCUGUGUUGGCAUGAGGUCCUGCAGGUGUUGACAACCUCUAGGGGAAGACUCUUCCAUCAGCCCUGAGCCCUGAGCCCUGGGCCUUGAACCCUGAGCCCUGGGCCCUUCCUCAUUGGCAUCCUCUCCAGUCAAACACUGAGAAAUGAGGGCACUGAAGAAUCCCCCCUAAAGUUAACAGACAAUGCUUGUAGAAAUUUACUGUAAGGACAAUGUUUGGAGAUAUUUACUAUAGGACAAUGUUUGGCGAUAUUUACUGUAAGGACAAUGUAUGGAGAUAUUUACUGUAAGGACAAUGUUUGGCGAUAUUUAUUGUAAGGACAAUGUUUGGAGAUAUUUACUGUAGGACAAUGUUUGGAGAUAUUUAUUGUAAGGACAAUGUUUGGAGAGAUUUACUGUAAGGACAAUGUUUGGAGAUAUUUACUGUAAGGACAAUGUUUGGAGAUAUUUACUGUAAGGACAAUGUAUGGAGAUAUUUACUGUAAGGACAAUGUUUGGAGAUAUUUACUGUAAGGACAAUGUUUGGAGAUAUUUACUCUAAGGACAAUGUUUGGAGAUAUUUACUGUAAGGACAAUGUUUGGAGAUAUUUACUGUAAGGACAAUGUAUGGAGAUAUUUACUGUAAGGACAAUGUUUGGAGAUAUUUACUGUAAGGACAAUGUUUGGAGAUAUUUACUCUAAGGACAAUGUUUGGAGAUAUUUACUGUAAGGACAAUGUUUGGAGAUAUUUACUCUAAGGACAAUGUUUGGAGAUAUUUACUGUAAGGACAAUGUUUGGAGAAAUGUACUGUAAGGACAAUGUUUGGAGAAAUGUACUGUAAGGACAAUGGACAACAGAGGACAACAGAUUAUCUGAUGAUAUAUUGCACGGCUGAGAGUGUAUAGUUUCAACAUAACUUUUAACAUUACAGCAGAAUGUAAGACAAUGUGUGUAUGAUGUGAAAUCAAAAGGGAUGAGAUCAACAUGUGUGUGCGUGUGUGUGAGUGUGCGUGUGUGUGGGGGGGGGGGGGGGGGGGGGGGGGGGGGGGUUGGUCCCUACUGUACUCUUUAGAGUACUCUGGAGUGUACUGGGCUUCAGAGAAGCACUACAGUGCCCUAAUGUGUGGGCUGUUUACAAGAGAAGCUCUCUGGAUGUCUAUCCUCUGUCAUGUGCAAUUAGUUACUUUAUGAAUAGAACUGACUACUCUAUGCAAAUAAAUGUGAAUGACUCACCCUCUGGCUGUAUUGCAAAUGUUGUUUAAUGUUUGACUGUCACAGUGAAAAGAAAGACAUUGUUUGGUGAAGAUUCCAUCCAUUUACUGUAUAUCCAUCAAAUGCUGCAUUUUUCCUAUUACAAAUAUUAUCUGCAUGUGUUCAUAGUGAUCAGGGAAUGUUCUACAUGAAAUGUGUUAGAUACAGUAUUGAAGCAGUCACAUUAAUAGCCGUCUCAUUGCCUGAUUUUUAUUAUUAUCCUUAUUCAGAGAGAUAGACAGUUUUGAACAUACCUGCAAUAAAGAAAGGGACACAUACUUGUACACAAACGUCUUACAAAACAUGUUGUUGUAAUUGAGUUCUGACUUGUCAUGACUUCUGUGCUGUUUGAAUUGAAUGUGUAUACAGAAUAAAUAAUACAACAGAUGUCUAAAA